AGACCCAGAAGACAUGGGAAACUGUCCUUUGCUUACAGAGGUCAGCAGAAGUUGUAGAAGUCCAUUCUUUUUGACAAUAAUAGAGCAUUGCACAUCCUGUGUUACAGUGAAAAUGGACCAUCCCAGAGUCAUGAAUAGGAAAAGAGUUGUGUAUAUCCCAUUGGCAUACGUGGGCAAGGGGCGGGGUCUAUUUUCCGUGUCAUGGCUCCUCCCUGUAGACUUCAAGAAGUUCCAUAUCCGGAAGUGGGCCCCGUAGACUUUCGUUUGACUGUCGACACCUUUCUCGGUGUGUCAUAUUCACUCAUCAUUGACUGAUGACCCCUGAACAGAUUUCCGGCCCUUCUUCAUACAGCUUGUCUUCCACCUUCACAGUCAUGCUGUGUCAUAUUCACUCAUCAUUGACUGAUGACCCCUGAACAGAUUUCCGGCCCUUCUUCAUACACCUUGUCUUCCACCUUCACAGUCAUGGCACAACACUCAGGAGUGCUGUGAGUUGCAUGACACCUGCAGAGGCUCCAUACUACAGACUACUACUACUCGGUACUACAGAAACCGGAUCACUUGACAAGCCUGUGUCCUGUUUUGGCCUUCCACACUCUGUAGGAUUGCAUAGGCUCCAUUUCUUCUCCCACAUCACCAUUCCAAAACAACUCCAGAUGUUUCGUUUGUAUUAUGGCCAGUUUCUUUACAUCUGUUACACUACCUGUGUUUUGCACCCAAAACUGGACUGCUCUAUCUGUUUCUUGUUUUUUAUCAUUAUCACUUGCAUUGCUGUAAAUAUGUUCCAUUAGCUCAGUUUUGCAACUAUGAAGUGUACAGUUUUGUUGUUGUAUUACUGUUACGCUGAGCAAAAAGAAACCUCAAACCUUA
Engraulis encrasicolus (European anchovy) is the source of this 870-nucleotide long non-coding RNA. RefSeq lists it as uncharacterized. NCBI's taxonomy places the organism in Eukaryota, Metazoa, Chordata, Actinopteri, Clupeiformes, Engraulidae. The transcript has 4 exons. The record is from RefSeq and is a predicted model, not a curated record.